GAUGAACGCUGGCGGCGUGCCUAAUACAUGCAAGUCGAGCGAACAGACGAGGAGCUUGCUCCUCUGACGUUAGCGGCGGACGGGUGAGUAACACGUGGAUAACCUACCUAUAAGACUGGGAUAACUUCGGGAAACCGGAGCUAAUACCGGAUAAUAUAUUGAACCGCAGGGUUCAAUAGUGAAAGACGGUUUGGCUGUCACUUAUAGAUGGAUCCGCGCCGCAUUAGCUAGUUGGUAAGGUAACGGCUUACCAAGGCAACGAUGCGUAGCCGACCUGAGAGGGUGAUCGGCCACACUGGAACUGAGACACGGUCCAGACUCCUACGGGAGGCAGCAGUAGGGAAUCUUCCGCAAUGGGCGAAAGCCUGACGGAGCAACGCCGCGUGAGUGAUGAAGGUCUUCGGAUCGUAAAACUCUGUUAUUAGGGAAGAACAAAUGUGUAAGUAACUAUGCACGUCUUGACGGUACCUAAUCAGAAAGCCACGGCUAACUACGUG
Molecule: ribosomal RNA, 497 nt
Filed under: uncultured bacterium
Lineage: Bacteria
Description: partial 16S ribosomal RNA
Rfam family: Bacterial small subunit ribosomal RNA
Source: RNAcentral